GGUCGCUUGAUGUAGUUGGUUAUCAUGUAUGCUUUACAUUUGAAUUUGUGAGACGCAUAAUGUCGCCAGUUCGAGUCUGGCAGUGAUCA
Naganishia onofrii is the source of this 89-nucleotide non-coding RNA. The record is from the annotation of a GenBank genome assembly. NCBI's taxonomy places the organism in Eukaryota, Fungi, Basidiomycota, Tremellomycetes, Filobasidiales, Filobasidiaceae.